RNAcentral lists this unclassified non-coding RNA (323 nucleotides) under uncultured fungus. Its description in RNAcentral is "partial contains 5.8S ribosomal RNA and internal transcribed spacer 2". The stretch from base 1 to 134 matches the Rfam family "5.8S ribosomal RNA", at positions 22 to 154 of the family's 154-position model. The record is from RNAcentral. Lineage: Eukaryota; Fungi.
UGGUUCUGGCAUNGAUGAAGAACGCAGCAAAAUGCGAUAAGUAAUGCGAAUUGCAGAAUUUCCGUGAGUCAUCGAAUUUUUGAACGCACAUUGCGCCCUUUGGUAUUCCGAAGGGCAUGCCUAUUCGAGCGUCAUUUCACAGUCAAGCCUAUGCUUGGAGUUGGCUGAUACCGAGGGAAACCUCCGUCCAGCUGAAAGACAAUGAUGAGACUGAUCGAGUUGAAGUACAAGGAGUCUUUGGACACGUAUGGAAAUGAGAUGAGGCUUGUCGAUACCCCGACAUAUACCAGGUUGACCUCGAAUUAGGUAGGAAUACCCGCUGA